This is a long non-coding RNA of Astatotilapia calliptera (eastern happy), 1992 nucleotides long. NCBI's taxonomy places the organism in Eukaryota, Metazoa, Chordata, Actinopteri, Cichliformes, Cichlidae. The record is from Ensembl.
CUCCCUCUCUCUUACUGUCAGUUUAGCUUGAUUCCCAUCAUAUACUAUCCGGAACGUCUCUCACUGUGGGAGGAUUAGUCCGUCUCUGGCUGCCUGCUUAUCUGUCUGCUUUGCCUCUCAGCUGCAGAGAGUAGAGGAGGUGGAGGAGGAGAAGAGGAGGUGUGUGUGUGUGUGUGUGUGUGUGUGUGUGUGUGUGUGUGUGUGUGUGUGUGUGUGUGUGUGUGUGUGUGUGUGUGUGUGUGUGUGUGGAGGAGAGGUUUUGGCAUCUCUCGCUCGGUUGUUGAGGCUAUAUCAGCUUCACUCAGCUCACUGCUAGUUUUAAUUUUUCUUUUUUUUCUUCUUUUUUUCGUCGGAGGACAAGCUUGUUGUGUUCACUCUUCAAACAGGUGUAGAUGUGUGUGUGUGUUUUUGUGUGUGUGUGUGUGCAGUGAGGUGCAUUUUCUUCCAUGGGUCGACCGACUGCAUCCAUUCUUGCACUGACUGUCCUGACUUGCUGUGUGUAAUAAUUGCUCCCCAGAGCAAGAAUCGACAACUUGGAUCAAUACCAAUAGUGAAGCAAAUAUAUCUGGCUAACGUUAGCAGCCGGUCUCUAAAGCCACAUACCUCAGUCACACUAACAAUGUCUUUAUCCUGGGGAGAUACAGAAGAAAAACGAUGUAUCAAAUUGUACAGUGAAAUCCGGCUGGCUCUGUGUUUUUCUGUUUAGGUCAGCACCUUGAAAAUGGAAGCUGGACCAGGCAUUUGAAGGAAUUAAACCCAUCAAGAUGAUGCCGCAUCCCCUCGUUUCGUGGGAGGGGAAGGUGAAUCCGUAAAAGGCUCUGCCUGUUCCCCAGCCGAUCGAUUGAUGUUGAAGUGUUUACCUCACAAAGGGCUGCAUAAACGGCUCGGCAGCUCGCGCUUUAUGCAGAACAUCGGGUGACUCUUUCGCAGGUCUCCAUUGAUGUUGCUUGUUUCACGCGAGAAGGAAGACGCUAAUCCCCUUGAUGUGCACCAAGCGGAGAGGAGGUGAUAUAUGUGGGGGCGAGAGGGGUGGACCUCCUGCCUGUCACCUAAACAUAAGACAACAAAGCUGUCUCUGCUUCGCCUCACAGCCAAGCUGCAUGAACCAGAAAAAAAAAGAAAAAGAAUGCCAAUAGAUCUCCUGUAAAACCUUUAGCACUGGAGCAGGAAAACAUAGAACAAAACCACAGAGGCUGUUGAACAUCCUUAUUGACAUAUGAAUUAUGGUACUGAAUCUAUGGUACUAUUUAUUUUCUAAACAAACAAGAGCCUCGCUAAGAGGAUUGGGAGCUUCUAGCAGGCUCUAUGCUACACAUUAUGUACAGUACGUUACACAUGUCAUUCAAAUUUGCUUUAAUGUGACAUCUGCUAGAAACCUGCUCCAAAAGUAGGUUGUAGCUUUUUUUUUUCACUACUACAAGGUGGAAGAGGUCUGUUAAACCCUGUUUUAACUGAACCCAGUGAGUAUUUUAGGAACUUAGAGUGCUUCUGCAUUUUCAAAAGAAAAAACACAAUACUUUCUUGUGGCAUAGUGUAAACUAUCAGAUAUAGGUGUUUUGCUUUGUUCACUAGUCAAACACUAAUCUUGAGGUUGAUAACACUGACGUAAACACAGUAAGCCAACACUGAUUAGCUUAACUCCUUUAAAGCCCCUUCCCACUUUUUAUGCCAUUUUAUUUUUGUUGAUAUGUUAACUGUCCAAAGAUUUAACUGCCAAACUGUAACUGCUUUAGUCCACGGUUAAUGGCUAGUAGCCUUACCAUCUGGCAAGCAGUGUUGCCAACUCCUCAGUAAGGAAAAUCGCUAAUGGUUGUCCUAAAAGUCGCUUGAAGUCGCUAAAUGAUGUCAUCGCCUAAUUUGCAUAAUUGGUCAUGCUAAUGUAAUUGUAACCUACGUUGUUGGAGAGAGAAACAACAUCGUGGAAGAGACAUAAAGUGAGUAAAAAUUGCAUUUGGAAUUCAUUUAGAACUAUAAAUUAAAUUUCUUUUAGCA